AUUACAUCUGUUGCCCCCAGUGAGCUGGCAAUGUGACCACGUCACCCCUACUCAGAAGAGUAAACUUUCACAAAAGCUUAUGCAGUUUAUGCCUCUCUCCACGUAGCAAAUUCCACUCCUGAUUCUCUCUCCUGCUUCGGCUAACCACCAUAACAACACACAUCCCCUAAUAAGGAGUGUGAUGUUAGCAGAGAUCAGAAAAGCUAACGUGUAAAUGGAUCUCUACCACCCAACGUCAUUUCCCAAACUUAGCUGCUCAUUUAUUCAUUUCCUUGGCCAUUUAUUCAUUCAUUCCCCUGUCUACCCACUCAUUUCUUUGUUCAUUCAACAGGUAUUUAUUCAAUAACUGUGAUGUGCCUGGUGUGUGCUAAGACCUGGCAUUCCAUGGAGGAGACCCAUGACCACUGAAGGCUCAGCCCAUUGAGAAGGCAAUGCAUGCUCAGGAGAGCCGUAGGCACACCGUGGAGACCAGACGAAGAAAACGCAGUGGAACUAACACGCCAGAUCGCCUUCCUGUGCCGUCUUCGGUCUGAUCAGUGACAGGCCAAGCCCUGCUGGCUUACUUUUUGUUUGCGGACGUGUUAACUUUGCUUUGCUGGUCUUCAGGUCGGAUUUCAAGUGAGAUGCUGGAAAUACAGGGCCAGAAGAGAGUGUGGGCUCUGUUAUUCACAGCUUGCCCUUCAGAACAGAGUGCUGUCUCAGGAGAUUGGCUGAAAAGGCAUUUACUCCUAACCAGCUGCGUGAGCUUCUUGGACCUCAGAUGCCUCUUUUGAAAAGACAGACUUCUUGGCUCCAAGUGAACAGAAUUUUAGUCAAUGAGAUAUAGAUGGACCAUCAACAUGGGAAUCAAGUUUCUAUUCGUAAGUGGAUGGCAUUCAGAAUUGCAGAAAGGGGCUGUGCAAGUGCAUUUGUGGUUUUAAUCAAACCCAAAGCACAUGAACAAUGAUUCUGAGUGAUUAACGAGCCCAUAACCACGUCAGGGUUUCAGCCACCGUAACAUGACAAGACAAAAAGGAAGCGGCGCGCAUUUACAAACAAGUGGUUGGCUCCCAGAGAGCUGGGAACUGAGUGCAGGCUGCUCAUCAGAUGAGACGAGAGCAGUUUAUUGAAUAUUGACUACACGCGAGGCGCUGUCUUAACACUGUAAACAGUUAUCCCACUCAGUCUUCACAAUGGUCUUCUGCGUAGUUAUCCCAAUUUCGCCCCUUCCGACUGUGUAGUUUGGGGAAAGUUACUUAACCUCUUCUGCCUUGGGUUUAGUGCCUGCAAAUGGUCCAAAAAUGGAGUCUGGCAUUCAUUUCUUCACUAUGUGCCAGACACUGUUCCAGGCACUUGAGAUGCCACAGAUCUCUGCCCUUUUGGAGUUCCCAUUUAUGGUGGUUAAUUUUAUGUGUCAACUUGACUGGGCUAAGGGAUGCCCAGAUAGGUGGUAAAACAUUAUUUCUGGGUGUGUCCGUGAGGGUGUUUUUGGAAAAGAUUAGCAUUUGAAUGGGUAGACUGAGUAAAGAAGAUUGCCCUCACGAUGCCAGUGGGCAUCAUCCAAUCCUUGGGCCUGAAGAGAACAAAAAGGCGCAGGAAGGGUGAAUUUGCUCUCUGCUUCAUUUGAGGCUUCCAUCUUCUCCUGUCCCCCAACACUGGCCCUCCUGGUUCUUGGGCCCUUGGACUCGGACUGAAUUGCACCACCAGCUUUCCUGGUUUUGUAGCUUGCAGAUCGUGGGACUUCUCAGCCUCCAUAAUCUUGUGAACCAAUUCCUUUAAUAAAUCUUUCUAUCUAUCCAUCUGUCUACCUAUCUACCUCUCUCCUAUUGGUUCUACUUCUCUGGAAAACCCUGACUAACACAGCAUUCCAGUGAGUAGAGACUGACAGUUAACAAUAAAUAGAGUAAUUCAGCUGCGUGGUGUGUCACAGGGAAAAGAGAAAAAGGAGAGCGAGCUAAAGGAUAUAUACAGGACCAGGGAGGGGUAGAGGUGCAGAUUGCAAUGUUAAAUAGGGUGCUAAGAAUAAGGCUCACCUAGAAGGACGUUUGAGUGAGGACUUGAAGGAGGGGAGCAAGUUAGCCUCAUAAAUAUCUGGAAGAAGAUUGUUCUAGAAAAAGGGACCAGCCAGUGGAAGACAGGACUGACUGGCUAAAGCCCGUGCUUUAGAAAAUCUAUUGAAACGACACAUGGGCACCUGGGUCCUGGGGGAUCUGGUGCUCAGAGCUGGCACAGCAUUACCCACAACCCUUGAAUAUCUACUCUUACAACUUGCACCGCUUAGGCCCCAGGGAAAUGCUUCUCCACAGCUCUUGCCCUGUGUCCUGGAAACACGAGGCCCCUGCGUUCCAAAGCCCAAAUGUUGGUGGGCUAAGCUUCAGCCUGCAUCAGGGGCCGAGAGGGCUGAGCAGCAGAAGCACA
Molecule: long non-coding RNA, 2397 nt
Filed under: Equus caballus (horse)
Lineage: Eukaryota; Metazoa; Chordata; Mammalia; Perissodactyla; Equidae
Description: lncRNA (ENSECAG00000057669.1)
Source: RNAcentral